RNAcentral lists this long non-coding RNA (949 nucleotides) under Triticum aestivum (bread wheat). Its description in RNAcentral is "long non-coding RNA (TAES_LNC010392)". Lineage: Eukaryota; Viridiplantae; Streptophyta; Magnoliopsida; Poales; Poaceae. The record is from RNAcentral.
GACGGGUGUGACCGUGCGAGGCCACCGGCGGUCCAGGGGAUCCAACGAAGGCGAGGCGCCGGGAGGGAUCCGGUGCUAGAGCGGCUGCAUCCAGGUCAGUUCGCUCAUCCUCCCCCUUCUCUAUCAGGCCCUGAGAAUCCCUAACCGAGCUGUCGUGAGCGGAAACGAGCCGGCGACGCCUCCGCUGAGGUUGCGGCGAUGAAACCCGCGCUAGGGUUCCAGGUGGUCCUGGCGGGGCAACCGUGCGGCAAGGGCCACUGGUCUUUGGGACACAUUUCCACAUGCAUAGCUCUGGCGGCAAUGGCGCUAGUGGCUGAUGACGUCUCAUCCUGCUCCUAGCCGACGACGGUGGAUCAACGCCUAUUUUAAUUCAAUCUUCCACUCUUUUUCUUGGUAUAGGGAACUCUUUGUGGGCAACCUGUUCUUCUCCAUGGUGCUCGCGCAAGGAGGUCGGGCCGUGCUCUGCAGAAUUCAGAAUGGAGGUGAUGGAGGGCACUGUACAAGAGAGGACAUGUGUAUGGGCAACAAUAGUGCAUCAGGUCCCCCUAUAUUUCUUUCCGUUUCAUGUACGAAUCCUUCUUCCACCAAAAAAAUUCUUUGUCCUGACAUCCUUCCAAUCUAAUUUGUACAUACAGCUAAUGUUGUUGGCGGUGGUCAACUGAUUUGAGCAUAUUUGUAGACUGGUAGGCGCGCGGCCGUACUGCCUGAGUCACCACCGGAGAGAGGAUCCGAGAGGAGACGGGCAGAUGCUCCAGAGGAUUCUGUACAUCAAGCAACUUCCUCUUCAUCUAUACCCAAUAUCUCUAUUUUGAAAUGUUCACAUACUUGGUUCUCUCCCAUGUGACAUGUGACUAAAACUAAAAUUAACUAGAUGAUACCCCGCGCGUUGCUGCGGGAAUUGCAUGCAAUAUAUUUUGAUGAUAUUUGGUUAUAUAUACAUGAACAUGAA